This is a long non-coding RNA of Marmota monax (woodchuck), 413 nucleotides long. RefSeq lists it as uncharacterized. Lineage: Eukaryota; Metazoa; Chordata; Mammalia; Rodentia; Sciuridae. The record is from RefSeq and is a predicted model, not a curated record. The transcript has 3 exons.
UGUGGGGACCCUUGAUGGAGUAGUGCACUUCCUCUCACAAGUCCGUUUCAAAAACAGGUCCCCAUCGCCCGCAAAGUCCGUUCCGUGGCUGCACUGUCCUUGGCUCCUGUUUUGUGGUUCCAAAGAAAUAAUAGGUCGUCUGCUGCUGUUGCAAAGAAAUAUGUCGUUUAACUGCCUCGUUUUAAGGGCCCACAGAAGACUUGAUUUCUUGACUUUCCUUAUGUUGGAACCAUGUGACUGAGUUUGGUAGACAUGGGCAGGAGUAAGCCACUUCCAGGCCUACCUGAAAAAUAUUACUUCCCCUUUCCAAAGUGACUGGGAGGCCAGAUGUUCCAGAUGAAGGUGGAGAAGGGCUGAUCUAUUGCCAAAGGACUUUGUGCAAGCAAAAAAUAAACUUUGGUUGUGCUCAGUCA